AUCUUUAAUUCACUUUGAGAUCUAUCAACACCAUGGCUUCUUUCAAGUGCUUUAUCUUUGCUGCAUUCUGGAUCGCUUUGUCAUUUUCAAGCAUGGACGUUGGGUUAGCUGCUCGUCAUCUUAUACCUUCAGUGCCAAAUUUGCCAAAGCCUUCAUUACCACCAUUGCCUAGCGGUGUCCCAACUCUGCCACAGCCCACAUUGCCCACAAACCCAUCUCUACCUCAACCUGCACUACCUUCACUUCCUGGCUUGCCUAGUGUUCCUAGUGUUCCUAGGGUUCCCUUGCCUCCACUUCCAAGCUUCCCUUCAAUCCCCACUAUCCCAAUUACAAUUCCCUCAAUCCCAAUCCCAUUCCUUUCUCCACCACCUGGCAACUAAAUACUUUGGAUUAAAUUGUGGAAGGAGAUUGGAAACUUGGAUCAUAUAUAUUACAAGACUGCUGUUACAUCCCUUUGCUGUGUUUCUGUGGAGUUAUUUGUGACUUUGUUAGUUGUUCAUUGUCAUUUGAUUAUGU
RNAcentral lists this unclassified non-coding RNA (516 nucleotides) under Hevea brasiliensis (rubber tree). The record is from RNAcentral. Lineage: Eukaryota; Viridiplantae; Streptophyta; Magnoliopsida; Malpighiales; Euphorbiaceae.